RNAcentral lists this long non-coding RNA (216 nucleotides) under Fragaria vesca (wild strawberry). RNAcentral describes it as "long non-coding RNA (FVES_LNC001509)". Lineage: Eukaryota; Viridiplantae; Streptophyta; Magnoliopsida; Rosales; Rosaceae. The record is from RNAcentral.
ACUAUCACGUAAGGCUGCCAUGUGCUCGUCCAAAUCAAUAAUAUCAUUCAAAUGUGUUGUGAUCGAGCCAUGCAUGGGAAAGGUAAAUUAUGUUAACAGGCUAAUUAAAAAUAUAUACAGUUGAUAACAUCAACCCGGAACCCGGACCACCACGUCUGAGAACUCAUACUAAUUUAUGCUAUUUACAUUUCUAAUUUAGUGAAAUCUUGUAUUACG